Molecule: ribosomal RNA, 456 nt
Filed under: uncultured Longilinea sp.
Lineage: Bacteria; Bacillati; Chloroflexota; Anaerolineae; Anaerolineales; Anaerolineaceae
Description: bacterial SSU rRNA
Rfam family: Bacterial small subunit ribosomal RNA
Source: RNAcentral
ACAAGCAGCGGAGCGUGUGGUUUAAUUCGAUGUUACACGAAGAACCUUACCAGGGUUUGACAUGCAAGUGGUAGGAAACCGAAAGGUGACCGACCCUUCGGGGAGCUUGCACAGGUGCUGCAUGGCUGUCGUCAGCUCGUGUCGUGAGAUGUUGGGUUAAGUCCCGUAACGAGCGCAACCCUUGUCAUUAGUUGCUACAUUCAGUUGGGCACUCUAAUGAGACUGCCGGUGACAAACCGGAGGAAGGUGGGGAUGACGUCAAGUCCUCAUGGCCCUUAUGGGUAGGGCUUCACACGUCAUACAAUGGUCGGUACAGAGGGUUGCCAACCCGCGAGGGGGAGCUAAUCCCACAAAGCCGAUCGUAGUCCGGAUCGCAGUCUGCAACUCGACUGCGUGAAGUCGGAAUCGCUAGUAAUCGUGGAUCGGCAUGUCACGGUGAAUACGUUCCCGGGUCUU